Parelaphostrongylus tenuis is the source of this 72-nucleotide non-coding RNA. NCBI's taxonomy places the organism in Eukaryota, Metazoa, Nematoda, Chromadorea, Rhabditida, Metastrongylidae. The record is from the annotation of a GenBank genome assembly.
GCAUCGGUAGUGCAGCGGUUUAGCACAUGCUCCCGUGAGAGUAAGAUGUGGGUUCAAAUCCCGGUUGACGCA